UGGGGAAUUUUGCGCAAUGGGCGAAAGCCUGACGCAGCGACGCCGCGUGAGGGAUGACGGCCUUCGGGUUGUGAAACCUCUUUCAAGCCCUGACGAAGCGAAAGUGACGGUAGGGGCAGAAGAAGCACCGGCCAACUACGUGCCAGCAGCCGCGGUAAUACGUAGGGUGCAAGCGUUGUCCGGAAUUAUUGGGUCGUAAAGAGCUCGUAGGCGGUCUGUCGCGUCGGCUGUGAAAACUCGGGGCUCAACUCCGAGCUUGCAGUCGAUACGGGCAGGCUAGAGUGCGGCAGGGGAGACUGGAAUUCCUGGUGUAGCGGUGAAAUGCGCAGAUAUCAGGAGGAACACCGGUGGCGAAGGCGGGUCUUC
This 366-nucleotide ribosomal RNA is filed under the name uncultured Actinomycetales bacterium. Its description in RNAcentral is "bacterial SSU rRNA". It matches the Rfam family "Bacterial small subunit ribosomal RNA", at positions 355 to 730 of the family's 1533-position model. Lineage: Bacteria; Bacillati; Actinomycetota; Actinomycetes; Actinomycetales. The record is from RNAcentral.